RNAcentral lists this ribosomal RNA (253 nucleotides) under uncultured bacterium. RNAcentral describes it as "partial 16S ribosomal RNA". It matches the Rfam family "Bacterial small subunit ribosomal RNA", at positions 524 to 776 of the family's 1533-position model. The record is from RNAcentral.
UACGGAGGAUCCAAGCGUUAUCCGGAUUUAUUGGGUUUAAAGGGUGCGUAGGCGGCCUAUUAAGUCAGGGGUGAAAGACGGUAGCUUAACUAUCGCAGUGCCCUUGAUACUGAUGGGCUUGAAUAUACUAGAGGUAGGCGGAAUGUGACAAGUAGCAGUGAAAUGCAUAGAUAUGUCACAGAACACCAAUUGCGAAGGCAGCUUACUAUGGUAUUAUUGACGCUGAGGCACGAAAGCGUGGGGAUCAAACAGG